AGAGGCGUAGCUUAGUGACAGAGCAUGUGCUUAGUGAGCAUAAGGCUCUGGAUUUAAUCCCCAGCACCUCCU
Molecule: transfer RNA, 72 nt
Filed under: Heterocephalus glaber (naked mole-rat)
Lineage: Eukaryota; Metazoa; Chordata; Mammalia; Rodentia; Bathyergidae
Rfam family: tRNA
About the family: Transfer RNA (tRNA) molecules are approximately 80 nucleotides in length. Their secondary structure includes four short double-helical elements and three loops (D, anti-codon, and T loops).
Source: Rfam by way of RNAcentral